AUAAAACAUAAUAUACUUUAUACUAGCUAACUGAGCUAAAUGUUUUGUUCAUGAAUUAUUUUUCAAAGUAUUUAAUAAUAAUAUUUCUAUUUUUAUGAUUAAAUAUUAAUUUAAAAACAACCAACUAUUACUAAGCGAGAAUUCCAAGAUUAUUUUACACCAGCUGAACAUAUUUAAAUGAUUAUAAUAUUUCAGUUUUGUCUUCUUCUGAUCGCAUUGGGUUUAAGUUAGCACAUAUGGAAAAUUUAAACCAAGUAUUUAAUGCUAAUAAAAGCACGUUGUCAACACUCGUGGUUUCAUUAAGACAGGCUAUAUCACUCUCAAACAAAACCAAUUGAUAUUACAAGAAAAAUAGUAUCUACAGAGGUAUUUUAUAAAAUUAUGAACAAUUUUAACUUAUAGUCUAUUCAGAAUAAGAAUGCUCACUUUCGAGCAUGCAUACUGUGAGCCGCCGGAACGGCUUGACCCCCCUGAUGAGAUUCAGGUGUGCUGUGAUUGGUCGUCAUUGUCGACAACUGCCAUUACCCAUCCCGGUUGACAGCCGCCACCGUGUAUACAGCGGAUAAACACAUAAACCAUGAAUAGCACAGUAUUGUGAAAACGAAAUAUUAUAGUUCACUUCGUAACAAUUGUUGCAUGUGCAUGACGGCAAUCAUCAGCGCAUACCAUGGCAACAAACGUGCGCGAACAAAACGAGUUUAGGGAUGAUCGAGUGGGCAUUCUUAUUCUGAAUAGACUUUAAUAAACAAUUAUAAAAUUAAAUAUAUUAAUAAUAAGUUUUAUGGUUAUAUGCUAUCAUGUAUAUAUAUAUGUAUUUAUUUUUAUGUAUGAAAGUAUUUACAAGAUCUAAUUAAAUAUAUAUAAUGUUUACAUGGGGUUCCAUCUUACAGAGAUGGUAUAACAUGAUUUAAUAUAAUCUAAUUUAAAAAUUUCUUUCUUGGUAAAAAUAGAUUUAAUUUUAUAUUUUACAAUAUAUACAUAUAUACAUUCACAAAAGUAUUUAUUAGUUAAAAAAGAUUGUAGAUAUCUAUGAUAUAAUAAUUAUAGUAUUUUUUUUUUGUAAUACAAUUAUUAAUAAUCAAAUUUAUAAUGUCCAUGAGUAGAUAUGAAUUAUAUCAGUUUUUGCUAUACACUCAUCAUUUUGUUGGUCGAAGCAUAAUUUUUUGGAUUUUAUCGUUCGUAUUUUAUACGGUUGAAUGAUUGUAAUUUGUUAUAUUAUGUAGAAGACAUGGGUUGAAAUUCAAUUUUUUUAGCUUAAGAUACAGGUAUUACAAACCAUUUAUCUAAAUUUUCCUGGUAAAUGGCAGUGAUCUGCCACUUUUUGGUUUUUGUUGGUAAAUAUAGACUUGCAUAAGUUCCAUAUAA
Long non-coding RNA from Rhopalosiphum padi (bird cherry-oat aphid), 1365 nucleotides. RefSeq lists it as uncharacterized. The transcript is spliced from 2 exons. NCBI's taxonomy places the organism in Eukaryota, Metazoa, Arthropoda, Insecta, Hemiptera, Aphididae. The record is from RefSeq and is a predicted model, not a curated record.